This 71-nucleotide transfer RNA is filed under the name bacterium. RNAcentral's name for it is "tRNA-Gly". It matches the Rfam family "tRNA". Rfam says of the family: Transfer RNA (tRNA) molecules are approximately 80 nucleotides in length. The record is from RNAcentral.
GCGGGAUUAGUUUAACGGCAGAAUGACUCCCUUCCAAGGAGUAGGCACCGGUUCAAUUCCGGUAUCCCGCA